AACGCGAAGAACCUUACCUGGGCUCGAAAUGUAGUGGACUGGGGUAGAAAUAUCCCUUCCUAGCAAUAGGUCGCUAUAUAGGUGCUGCAUGGCUGUCGUCAGCUCGUGUCGUGAGAUGUUGGGUUAAGUCCCGCAACGAGCGCAACCCUUAUCUCCAGUUGCCAUCAUUCAGUUGGGCACUCUGGCGAAACCGCCUCGGAUAACGGGGAGGAAGGUGGGGAUGACGUCAAGUCCUCAUGGCCUUUAUGUCCAGGGCUACACACGUGCUACAAUGGCCGGUAUAAACCGCUGCAAACCCGCGAGGGGGAGCUAAUCGGAAAAAGCCGGCCUCAGUUCGGAUUGCAGUCUGCAACUCGACUGCAUGAAGCUGGAAUCGCUAGUAAUCGCAGAUCAGAAUGCUGCGGUGAAUACGUUCCCGGGCCUUGUA
RNAcentral lists this ribosomal RNA (427 nucleotides) under uncultured Acidobacterium sp. RNAcentral describes it as "bacterial SSU rRNA". It matches the Rfam family "Bacterial small subunit ribosomal RNA", at positions 958 to 1385 of the family's 1533-position model. Lineage: Bacteria; Pseudomonadati; Acidobacteriota; Terriglobia; Terriglobales; Acidobacteriaceae. The record is from RNAcentral.